ACUCCUACGGGAGGCAGCAGUGAGGAAUUUUGCGCAAUGGGGGCAAGCCUGACGCAGCGACGCCGCGUGAGUGAGGAAGGUUUUAGGAUUGUAAAGCUCUGUCCAGAGGGAAGAAAUGUAUCGUGGCUAAUAUCCAUGAUACUUGACGGUACCGCUAAAGGAAGCACCGGCUAACUCCGUGCCAGCAGCCGCGGUAAUAC
RNAcentral lists this ribosomal RNA (200 nucleotides) under uncultured bacterium. RNAcentral's name for it is "partial 16S ribosomal RNA". It matches the Rfam family "Bacterial small subunit ribosomal RNA", at positions 335 to 526 of the family's 1533-position model. The record is from RNAcentral.